UGGCUCAGGAUGAACGCUAGCUACAGGCUUAACACAUGCAAGUCGAGGGGAAACGAUAUUGGAAGCUUGCUUCCGAUAGGCGUCGACGGCGCACGGGUGAGUAACGCGUAUCCAACCUGCCCAUCACUUGGGGAUAACCUUGCGAAAGUAAGACUAAUACCCAAUGACGUCUCUAGAAGACAUCUGAAGGAGAUUAAAGAUUUAUCGGUGAUGGAUGGGGAUGCGUCUGAUUAGCUUGUUGGCGGGGUAACGGCCCACCAAGGCGACGAUCAGUAGGGGGUUCUGAGAGGAAGGUCCCCCACAUUGGAACUGAGACACGGUCCAAACUCCUACGGGAGGCAGCAGUGAGGAAUAUUGGUCAAUGGGCGAGAGCCUGAACCAGCCAAGUAGCGUGCAGGAUGACGGCCCUAUGGGUUGUAAACUGCUUUUAUAAGGGAAUAAAGUGGGAGUCGUGACUCUUUUUGCAUGUACCUUAUGAAUAAGGACCGGCUAAUUCCGUG
This 500-nucleotide ribosomal RNA is filed under the name uncultured bacterium. RNAcentral's name for it is "bacterial SSU rRNA". It matches the Rfam family "Bacterial small subunit ribosomal RNA", at positions 20 to 507 of the family's 1533-position model. The record is from RNAcentral.